AGCUCUAUAGGGGUCUAACUUAUUUCCUAACCUUUUCUAUAGAAAGCUAUUUGGUGUUAUUAAAUGGUCAUUUUCUCCUUCAUGCU
Non-coding RNA from Heterocephalus glaber (naked mole-rat), 86 nucleotides. The record is from Rfam. NCBI's taxonomy places the organism in Eukaryota, Metazoa, Chordata, Mammalia, Rodentia, Bathyergidae.